UUAAAUUGAAGAGUUUGAUCAUGGCUCAGAUUGAACGCUGGCGGCAGGCUUAACACAUGCAAGUCGAACGGUAACAU
RNAcentral lists this ribosomal RNA (77 nucleotides) under Gilliamella sp. Choc6-1. RNAcentral's name for it is "partial 16S ribosomal RNA". It matches the Rfam family "Bacterial small subunit ribosomal RNA", at positions 1 to 75 of the family's 1533-position model. The record is from RNAcentral. Lineage: Bacteria; Pseudomonadati; Pseudomonadota; Gammaproteobacteria; Orbales; Orbaceae. RNAcentral also lists the same sequence under 1 other name.